UAUGUUUAUACAAAUAUUAUAUAAUAUAACAUACCUGAAUGAAAACAUUAAUGUAGAACAUAGUUGCAUUAAAAGCAGAGAAAAGAUGUGAAUAAAUAAAUUUGAUAUGAAAUAUUUUUGUGUGAAAAUAUGUCAUGUUCAUGUAGUUGACACUUUUUGACACUUUCUUUAGUCACACUUUAUAAGAAGUGGUAAAAGUAUACUUCUGUAUAAUGUAUAUAUGAUGUUUAUAUAGUAUUUAGAGUGAAGAAAGAACAUAAAAUGUUAAUAAUUGAAAUUGAUACUUUGUAAGGGAUGGGAACAUUGUCCAGUUCCUUCCCAUUCAUGCCUAUCCUAAGCCAACCUGACCCAGUCCAUCCCAUUUCUGAUGGGUAAUAAAUGUUUGAUAGUACAAAUAAUAUAUAAUAUAGCAUAUUAGAAUUAAAAUAUUUAUGUUGAGCAUGGCCAAAAUAAAGGAAGAGAAAAUAUGUGUAUAUAUAGAAUAAUUAUGAAUAUGUUUUAAUCGUGCAAUUGACCCUUACUAUGGUAACACUUUAUAAGAAGUAAAAGUACACUUCUUUAUAAGUAGAUAUAUAUUUGAUAGAAAAGGUUAUAAACAUUUGUUUUUUGAGCUGUUCAUAAUAUUAUUAUGGAAUCAGUCUAUUACCUAAAGACAAAAAGACAAAUGAUUAUUAAAUCUGGAACCACACUUGCAUGGGCAAAUGAAGGUUCAUGUACAGUUGUUGAAAGUUACAUUCUUGCUGUAUUUUGAGUAAGUAAGUAAGGACUUUAUUUAAAGUGGAUAACAUAUAUGGCAUUGGAUACAUUUUUCAAAACCGAUUAACAAUAUGGUCCGCUAAGUAGUCCACUAAGAAGUUUGGAAAAAUUGUUUGAUAGGUAAAAUACUUUUGUGUGUUUCAGUCAUAUUUGCUGACCAUUGUUGAAGCUGUGGAUUUUCCCUGGGAAAGAAUGAAGAAUGUUUUCAAGAAGAGACUGUAUUCAUUUGUAGUUUUGAAGUGACGAAAGAAUAACAAAUUGGUACUUACUGGAAAUUAUAUAUUUUGUGGAGUUGGGAAUCUGUCCUGUCUAUUCCUGUUCCUCCCCAUUCUGUUUUGUCCCAUCCUGACCUGGCCCAUCCAUUCCUGAUUGAUAAUCUAGAAGUGUUUGUAAAAAGAGCAAGCUGCAUAAUUAUAUGAAUGGAAUUGUAUAUUGAAGUAGUGUUUUAGAAUAUGGCCACAAAAUAAGCCGAAAAAAAAAGACUGUAUAAAAAAUAUUAAUACAAAAUAUGUUAGUGUGAGAAUGUGUUCUAUUUAUGCUGUAGAUACUUAGUUGUUUAUUAUUGUAUAAAACUAAAUUGUGUUUCAGGAAAGUAUAAUUCGUAAUUCUACAGUAUACGAGUUUUUGUCAAACAUAUGGAUACAGUUAUACAAUAUUAUACAGAAUAUAAGAUAGAAUAAAUAUUAAACCUAGAAUGACAUUUGUAGCAAUAUGUAAGGGAAAACUGCUGGAUAUAUAAACAUUGAAUGUAACAACAUGACAGGUCUCUUACAUUUUACUGUUUCUAGAGACAGAAGACAAAAGAUGUUGAAUGUGACAGCUGUAAAUGCUGGAAAUUUAAGUAGCAGGCUACAAGACUGAUUUCCAAACCAAAUGAUAGGCACUGAAAUACCCAUGGAUGAAGAAUCAGAAGGCUUAAUCAGUGGAUGGUGAAAAUUGUCACAUGCUGUAGAUAUAAUCCCUCACACCACCAGCACCAACUCUGACAGAUGGUAUCUCAACAUACAGUAGAUCCAGGGUGAUACAUCAUAGAUUAGAUAUAGCUGGUCAAAUCAUACAAGAAUGUUGAGACAUCGAUAGUUGGUUUCUAUAAUAAUGUCUGCAGCCAGAGUUCGGAGAAACGGAUCAGCUCAAAGAACAUUGGAGGGGUCUGAUGACAAUAUCGAUAUAGGUUUUGAAGAAGAUGAUAAAGGAAAAUUGGCAGAGGUAAAGGAGACAAAUGAUGGUGCGAAAAGUAGAAAUAUCACAAGUUAACAGUCAAUAAGGGAAAUGACUCCAGCCAGUAACUCAACAAGUCGUGAGCUUGCAAGAUAUGUCACAGAAAGGCGGGUUUAUGUAGCUGCUGCAGAUUAACCCAGUCUUGCUGAAACCAGAAGUUGUCAAACUGCUGGCUGGAUUUCUACAGAACAUCAAAGGAGUGAUCAGUACCAGCCCUCGCUGGCACGUUCUGUUUCACUGCAAAAUGGCCACCAGAGCUCAAAGUAGAAAAAUUUUGUCCGGCGUUCACUGGUCAGACUGCUAGACAGAUUUUGUCGAAACUUCACAUCAGUACAAAGCCUAGUUGUGCAUACUGCCGACAUGUUCUGCUUUGCUGCAGAAAAUGGCCACCAGAGCUAAAGGUGAUCUACAACGUGAUUCUACAACUGCCAAGGAACUUCGGCAGAAGAGCUGGUAUAUAGGGGAGUGGAGGGAGCAGAUUGCAGUACAGUCAAACCUGUCUAUAAAGACCACCCUUGGGAGAGUCAAAAUGUGGUCUUUAUUGGGAGGUGGUCAUUAUUCACAGGUUAAAAUAUACUGUAAAAUUUAAUGUAAAAAUGGGAAACAAAACAUGUGUUCUUUAGAGCCAUGUUGUCUCUGUUCAGAGGUGGUCUUUAACUCCGGUUUGACAAUAUACAUCUCAGUGGGAGUGGAACAGGCAGAUUUCAAUACAAACUACAUCAGUGGGAAAAGCGCAAUGAAGUUCAGCUGUUUCCAGCUUGAAACACAUGCGUAUGCAAUUUGGAAAUCUUGAAAGUUAUAUGCAGUUGGGGAUAUCGUCAGUUGUAUGCAGUCAGGAGAUCAUGACAGUUGUAUGCAGUCAGGAGAUCAUGACAGUUGUAUGCAAUCCGGGGAUCUUGACAGUUGUAUGCAGUCAGGAGAUCACGACAGUACUUUGCAGUCCAGGGAUCUUGACAGUUGUAUGCAGUCAGGAGAUCACGACAGUACUUUGCAGUCCAGGGAUCUUGACAGUUGUAUGCAGUCAGGAGAUCUUGGAUCUUGGAUCUUUUUGUACUGUUGACAUUCUCAAGAUUCUGUCUUAAAAAAAACUUACUUGGACAGCUUAAAAGCUUCUCUAUAACUUGCCUGUGCCAUUCUUAAGUAGAAGACAUGUGUAUGAAUAUUUAGUUCUGGCAUGCCAUACUUGAGCAAUUGAGUUUUGGAAAGGUGGCAAUUUGAAUGUUUACAGUGGUCUCUGUAAACUAUUAUUAGGCAACUGGUUCAGCUGGCCGGUCAGGGACGUCCAAUGCCCAGACUGCUGGUGCCGCAAACCCCACUGACGGGACAACUAGUUUGGCUGGCUGGUCCAGGUCCUCACAGACCCAGACAGCUGGUUCUGCAAACCCCAUGGAUGUCGGCAGGAAUGGAGUUCACUAUAUGGAGUGAGAAGAAACUGAAAUUACAAAACUGUUUUGAUUAGAGAUGACAACCGCACUGACAGGACAACGGGUUCGGCUGGUGGUCUGGGUUGUCCAGUGCCCAGACUGCUGGUGCUGCGAACCCAAAUGACAGGACAACAGGUUCGGCUGGCCGGUUUGGGUCCUCACAGACCCAGACUGCUGGUGCCGCGAACCCUACAGAUGUCAAUAGAAAUGGACAUGGUUUGCACAGGCCAUGAAAAAUCCUUGAAUUUGAUGCCUACUUCUUGAAAAGUACUUGUAUUUUGUAACAGUCAGAAACUACUUGAAAACUACUUGAAUUUAGGAAAAAACGUACAAAAGAUGGCAAAUAGUCCUUAAAUUCAUCGGAUGCGAAGUAAAAACGGACAAACAUUAUAAAUGAACCAAAAUAAACUAAAAAACGACGAAAAAAAAAACAAACGUUACCGCCAUUAGGGCCUGCCAUGGAGUCAAUGAUAGUACGGUACGGUACUGUACUUUACGGGUUUUAUGCUCUUUCAAGUAAUUUUCACAUUGUAAUUUAUCCGCGAUGCGUUGAAGGUAAAUCUUGUGUUACAUUGUUUAAUUUUGUCCUAAAUUGGAUUUAAAUUGGUUAUUUCAUGUCUCAGCAACAGUGACAUUGCGCCCAUUUUAGUCCUUGAAAAUGGAGAAAAACUACUUGAAAACUCCUUGAAAACUACUUGAAUUGUUUUUUGGAAGGUCUGUAUGAACAUCGAUGGAGUUCACCAUAUGGAGUCGAAAGAAACUGAAAGCACAAAAGUUUUUGAUUAGUGAUGACAACCGCACUGACAGGAGCACUGGUUUGGCUGGCCGGUCUUGGGUGUCAAAUGCCCAGACUGCUGGUGCCGCGAACCCCACCGACAGAACAACUGGUUUGGCUGGCCGGUUUGGGUCCUCACAGACCCAGACUGCUGGUGCCGCAAACCCCAUGGAUGUCCGCGGCUCUCAUCUGGUGGAAGAAACGGCUACAAGUAGUGAGCAGCAUAGAAACAAGCAUUCUAGAAAACGAGAAUGUGAUUCCAAUCGUGACCAGGUUGGUGACCUUGAUGGUGGUCAUUGGGAUACGUAGGAUUUGAUAAACAGGCGGGGAACUGCAGAAAGGGCAUGAAUAAAGGACAGGGCGGGUAUCUUGGAAGAGGCGCAUUUGAUAAACAGGGCGGGAGUGAUAGUUCUGUGAGAUAUUGUUCUGGAGAUUGCAGUGGGCGUGAUUCUUAUCACCCGCACCCUGGGAGUUCAGUAGUAGAGGUUGACAGAGCAGAUUUCAGAGAUGAUAGGAAGACAGACAGAGCACAGACACAGAGACGAUAGCCGUCGAAGCCACCAGCGUCUUGACUGAGACUUUUAUAAUUAUUGUAAUAAAACUUGGUUGAAUUUGUGAAUGGAUGGAACACAAAUGGUCUCUCAGAUAAUUUUAUUUUUAGAGCAAAUUUUAUUGAUAAACUUCAUUUUGAUGUGAUUGUUAUUUCAGAAACACACCUAACAGGUGAUAAGAUAAUUGAACUGUCUAUGUAUUUCAUGGAUACAAUAGAAAAAAUAUAUUCACAUAAAUGCACAAACUGGUUCAGGUGGAGUUUCUAGGAGUUUGUAUUUUUGUAAAAAGGUCAUUUGCAGAACAUUUUAGUAUUGAAAUUUUAGACAUAAGCUAUGAGGGAAUUUUAUGGUUAAGUUUUAAAUCUAAAAAAGUUUUGAGAACAUUUUUACUGUUUGUGCUUGCUUUUUGCCACAAAUGGGAUCUUCUUCAUAUGUGGAGAUCAUGAUCAUUUUGACCAACAGUUAAGUAAUAUGUAUGAAUAUCAGAAAUUUGGUAAAUUGUUUAUUCAUCAGUAGAUCAGGUGUAAGAGAUAACUGGCAAAGUUCUGUACCAUUUGAAUUUGUAGAUGAUUCUGAGAUUUGUACUUCUAGCCCUGUUUUAGUUUUAAAUAUGUGGAAAACAGACUUCUAUAACUUACACUGAAUACUGACAUGUUUAUUGAUGGAUUACAAAUAAGGCGUAAAAAAAAAAAAUUGUUUGUUUCCGGUAUCCCGACCUACCCUAAAUUUUUGGCCCGACCCUAAAUGUUUUUAUGGCCUUGGAGAAUAUUUUUUUCAACUUUUUAACAAAAAGAUGCAAAACUGCACUUUUUAUGCUUUAAACAUGGCCAGUGAUGUUAGAAAUCAACUUACUGAUGCUCUAAAGGCAUAACCCCCUUAUUUGUAAUCAUUUUUUGACAAAAAAGUAUUUUCCGAAAAGUCUCCCUUAAUAAAAAAAAUUUCCAAAAAAAAGAAAAAUUCCGACCUAACUACCCUAUUUUUUUUUUAGCAUGUUACCGGAAACAAAGAAUUUUUUUUUGUAGGCCUAAGGAAAGCAAUGUAUAUAUAGAUAAUUGUACUGAUCAAGACAUAUUCACAUUGUUUGAUGUUAAAACUGCUAUUUUUAAUGUUAAAAAUAAUAGAGCAAUGAGAAAUGAUGAAAUACCAAGUAUAGGUUUUAAAUAUGAGGCACAGUAUUUGCAUUUGAUGUUUAAUUUCUGUUAUAACACCGGCAAAGUACCAAAAGCUUUGGGUAAAAGUAUUAUUAACCCUGUACUGAAAGAAUCUACAACCACUACUAAGGAUCCAUUGUAUUACAUGGGUAUUUCUAUCAUACCAGUCAUACACAAAAUUAUUGUUCAUUGUUAAAUAAGAAACUUACCUCUUUUGUUCAAACAAACUGUAUUUUAUUUGAAGGCCAAAAUGGCUUCAGUAAAAGUCGAAGUACCAUUGAUCAUCUAUCGACUUUAACAAGUACUGUUGAUACAUGGUGUAAAAUGAAGUUGUUGACAUAUUGUUCAUUUAUAGACUUAAGGAAGGCUUAUGACUGUAUAAAUGGCAAAUUUUAUGGUGUAAAUAAGAUAGCAUUUUAGGGAAUCAGUUAUUAAAUGCCAUAAAAUGUUUGUACAACAAUGUUAUGUGCUCAGUUAGAGUUAAUAGGUUUCUUACAGAAUGGUUCCAUAUAAACACAGGGUUGAAACAAUGCUGUGCAUUAUCACCAAUGCUCUUGAAUCUUUUGUAAAUGACCUUGCUGUUAAGCUAGAUUCAUUGAUUAAAGGUAUUGAUAUUUAUGGUACAAACUGUUCAGUUUUGUUCUUUGCUGAUGAUUGAGUAUAUUGAUAACAGAUAAUCCUGAAAAUCUGCAAUGUCUUCUGAAUGUAUUACCGGUAAUUAAUACUUGCCAUGGUGUGUUGAUAAUAGAAUGAAUAUAAAUGUUGACAGAUCAAAGAUAGUAUAUUUUAGAAAUGGGUCUCUCAGUAGAAAUGAUUUUAUAUAUGACUUUAGAUGUGAGAAUUCAGUGGUUGAGUAUGCCUCUCGGUAUAAGUACCUUGGUCUUAUUUUGACUGAACACAUGGAUUUUCUCAGUCACAGCAAAAUGUUUAGCAAAGUCUGCUGGGAGAGCCCUUGGUUUACUUAUAGCGAAGGCAUGUUCAGUUGGUGGAUUUCUGUAAUUGACGUUUACUAAGAUUUACGAGUCAACCGUUGUACCGAUUAUCACUUAUGUUUCUGGUAUAUGAACUAUAAUUGAAGAAGAUUUCGGUUGUAUUAAUGGUAUCUAACAUAGAGCAGCUAGAUAUUUUGUGCUGCAGUAAAUAGAGAUAUUGGGCGGCAGCCAAUGACUUGUAAGGUUAAGAAAACACUUGUACAGUUAUGGUCUAGAUUAGUAAAUGUGUCAAGUGACAGAAUAAACAGGAAAAUAUUUGCAUGGUCUAAAAAUGCUAGUAAUAGAAAACUGCAAAAAUUGAAAUUUUAAAGCUGUUAAAUUGUUUUUAAAAUGUAACUUCUGGUUCUAUUGGAUCUUUGAGUCCAUUCAACAUAUGUGUAAUAGUUUCCCUUAAGCCGGUGCUAGAGGGUGUGAGAGGUGUUGCACAUUUCAUUGCCUCUCAUGAACAGACUCAAUCAAACCGAGUCUGCUAUUAUUCUGCUUGGUUGCAUUCUUUGCUUCCAAAUGAUCUUUUUACAGAAUUUAUUAAGUGAACAUGUACAGAUUGGCCAGUUUUCCUCAAGACAUGAGAAAUGUGAAAAAUUGAUUCCUAGACUAUAUGAAGACUAUGUUAAUUCAUGACAUGCAAAAAUUAACCGAGUAAAUGCUCAAAGGGGAAACAACAGAUUGUCAAUCACAUAUUUGUCUGGCUUAAAGCGUAGCUUCUUGAAAUAACACCCCAACAAUUAUUUGAAAUAUUGUUAAUCAACAAAAGUACUGACAGUGUUUACAUGUUUAUUUCUUAACUAUAGAAACCAAACUAGAAAUAUAACAAGAAUGUCAAAAUAUAAAUCUUUAUAUUUAAUAAAAACACCCGAAGGAUUUUUAAUUCACAGACCACAAAUUUGUAGAUCGAGCUUUAAAAAUAAAGAACAAAUGUGAGACCUAUCAGACAUUAUUUCAAGUAUUAGGAAAACUUAUUAAUAUACACAUUACAUUAACAUCAGACUGUCCAAUAUUUAACACCCAAGUGGGAGAGGUAGUGUUAAGUCUGCUUCAAGGACAUAUUCUUGAAACCCCCCCCCCCCCCCCCCCCCGAGUUAACUUGACGCAUGGCAUGCACAUUUUUAAAUAUAAAUGUUAUUUCAUUAACUACUAGAUCUUUCAUGGUACUUAUGAAUUGAUUUUCACUACAUACUAAGUAUUGCUUCAGUAAAUUUAAUUAAUUGAAGUGACUUUAAUAUAGUACAAUGAUAUUUUAAGAAUUGCCAUGUGAAAGGUGUCAGUGUGAAGUUUUCAGCCACUGUGAUCUUCAUUUAGGGAACUGAAGCCAUUGUUGCUACACUGUAUCUAUUUUUAUAUGUGUCGAAAACUGAGAUACUAUAUAUAAUUCACAUGUAUAAAUUUUUAUUUUUUUAGGGUUAUAGAUCACAAUAGUAUGUUGUUUUGUGAUUGGUAUUUCAGUGCCAUACUGAAAAUGUUAAAACACAAUGUCAAGUCAUAUAUUUUGGUUUAGUGGGGUGUAUUACAGCUCUCCAAUACAUUUUGGUCCGAUCGUGUCACCUAGUUGUCACUUUGGCAAUCAUGUAAUCAAUUCAGGUAAUUAUAGUUACCAAAUCAAGCUCCAAUUUUGUACUUGCUCUUAUUGCUUUAAAGAAACAUUACACAUUUCAGUGUACUGUAUCACAAAACAUAAAUGUAUAGAGUGUAGUUUUAAAUGAUAACUUUUAAAUUUUAAGUGUUGUAUGUUGUACAUAUAUCUCCUAUAACUCUGUUUACAGUGGCAGUGUAUAAAUAUUCAUCUGUGCUGAUGAUAAUAAAUAAACAAAUAAAUAAAUACAAUGUCACUGUAAAUUUGAAAUGUUUCAAGAAAUGUUUUUACAAGAGAGAGUGAAAUAAGAAAAUAACCAUCAUUCAGUUUUUUUCUAAUGGAAGUAAGCUAUGAAUAUAUUUGAACAAAGGUCAGUCAUUUUUUUGGUUUGGACCUGUCAAAAAUAAUGAUGGAUGUGACUUUGACAGAAAGAAGAUCACAAACUGGGCACCCUGGAAAAUUGAAAUAUGUUGUUUAAAUAAAUUCUUCUUUUUUUUUCAGUCUUGUAAAAAAAAAAUUUCGAAUGACCUCUCUUUCAUGAAUGUUGAUAAUUGUUUUUAUCAAAGGCCUGUAAAUUGACAUGGAUUUUAUUAAAUUUUCAUAUUGUUUAAUUGCUUUUACAUAAAUUUUUAAACUGAUUAAUGUAUUGUGAAAACGAUACACUUGGGCUAAUUAUAGGGAAUUUUUGUAUGUCUGUCUUUGAAUUUUUGUAUGUCAGACUUUGAAUUUUUGUAAUAAUGCACACCAACUGACAGUCGGUAUAUACAUGGAGGCUUGUUGUGUGCCAAAAUAAAAAAAAUCUAAUUAUAUUCUUUCUACAGUAGAUAUUGAGUUUACAUGAAUAGAACAUACAGCAAAAAUAAUGGAUUGGCAUGCUUGAUUUUUUGGUGAAUCUGCUUUAUAAAUUCACAACAAUUCGAUCACCAUUUUCCUAAUAAGAGUCUGAUGUAACAUCAUAUUUUAAGGAUUUACUGUGUAAAGAAAUGUUAAUUUUCACAAAAGAUUCAACAGUUGUAAAAGUACCAAUAUUGCGUCAUGUAUUUUACUUAAAUUAUAACCCCAUGUACUGACUGGCCAAUAGGAAUAAGGUCAGUAAUUCGGUCGAAAAUGUGCUUCCGUGGUGUAGUCGAAAGAAGUCCAUAAUAAAUAGAUCCUAAUUUUCCCAUUUUCUGCGCAAAUUCGUGUAGAACGAGUGCUUUAAUCACAACUUUUCGCUACUAGAAUACAUUCUGCAUGAAAUGAGACGGUUUUCAUAUUCAUAC
Mercenaria mercenaria is the source of this 9699-nucleotide long non-coding RNA. RefSeq lists it as uncharacterized. Lineage: Eukaryota; Metazoa; Mollusca; Bivalvia; Venerida; Veneridae. The record is from RefSeq and is a predicted model, not a curated record. The transcript has 7 exons.